GAUGAACGCUGGCGGCGUGCCUAAUACAUGCAAGUCGAGCGAACAGAUGAGGAGCUUGCUCCUCUGACGUUAGCGGCGGACGGGUGAGUAACACGUGGAUAACCUACCUAUAAGACUGGGAUAACUUCGGGAAACCGGAGCUAAUACCGGAUAAUAUAUUGAACCGCAUGGUUCAAUAGUGAAAGACGGUUUUGCUGUCACUUAUAGAUGGAUCCGCGCCGCAUUAGCUAGUUGGUAAGGUAACGGCUUACCAAGGCAACGAUGCGUAGCCGACCUGAGAGAGGGAUCGGCCACACUGGAACUGAGACACGGUCCAGACUCCUACGGGAGGCAGCAGUAGGGAAUCUUCCGCAAUGGGCGAAAGCCUGACGGAGCAACGCCGCGUGAGUGAUGAAGGUCUUCGGAUCGUAAAACUCUGUUAUUAGGGAAGAACAAAUGUGUAAGUAACUAUGCACGUCUUGACGGUACCUAAUCAGAAAGCCACGGCUAACUACGUG
This 497-nucleotide ribosomal RNA is filed under the name uncultured bacterium. Its description in RNAcentral is "partial 16S ribosomal RNA". It matches the Rfam family "Bacterial small subunit ribosomal RNA", at positions 28 to 507 of the family's 1533-position model. The record is from RNAcentral.